Molecule: small RNA, 29 nt
Filed under: Bombyx mori (domestic silkworm)
Lineage: Eukaryota; Metazoa; Arthropoda; Insecta; Lepidoptera; Bombycidae
Description: piRNA piR-bmo-1886223
Source: RNAcentral
UAAACUGGAUAUCCAUCGUUCCCUGUGAC